Molecule: long non-coding RNA, 2904 nt
Organism: Homo sapiens (human)
Lineage: Eukaryota; Metazoa; Chordata; Mammalia; Primates; Hominidae
Exons: 3
Source: RefSeq, a predicted model, not a curated record
GACUCAUUCCCGGGCCUCCGGCUGACCACGGGAAAGGGGAUCUUCAGGAGCGGGUGUCUCAUGGCUGGGAAGAGGACGGCACAGGAGGGCUGGGGAACCCGAAUUGCAGCCUGAAUGGCCAGUGUCCUUUCUCCAGAAUGCAGUUCUCCCUUGCUCAGAAGAAAUGAGUCUGCCAGUGGGUACAACAUGAGAUGAUACUUCCACCCCCAUUGGUGACAGCCCUCACCUAGCUAUCAAGGUAUGCAGGGCUGACUUUUCACCUUCAGCCUGCUCCAGGGAAGGGCCAGAUGGCAUUCAGGCUGAUUCUGUGCUUCUGGCUGACUAAUCUCUCCAGGUACAAGAGUAAACAUGGAACGUGGGGACACCAUAUGUCCCUGACUCAUAGAGCUUGCAGGAAUCACCGUCAUUCUACGUGGCAUCUGCUUUCCUCGGCCGAGGUGGGAGGUGGGUCAAUGUAGCGGAGGAAACGUGUCUUAAAGUACAAGGCAGAGUGAACUGAAACAUAAAGAGAAGUGUGCACCUGGUAGUUGUAUCCUAAAUGACAUUUAUUUUCCAAAUGUGCUUUGUUUUGCUAGACAGUGUUCGACUUCCUUCACUCCUUCCAGGGGCCAGCAUGUGGCUGGCCACUGUCCACCCUCAGGGGUUGUGAACUGAAUUAAAGGGUUGCGUCCUUCAUCCAUUUUCUUUGCUGAACUGUCUUGAAUUUUACCCUAAGUUCAAAAUGAAGCAGACCAUAGCUGAGUUUAAAGGAGAUCCGAUUGACAUUGGGAAGUGGCACCCAAUAAGAUGGCUGUUUCUUCCGCCUGCUCCAGGGCUCGCCAACAGGAGAACUGAAAGCUGAAGCAUCUCAACCUGCAGAUACAUCUCAAAGGCCCCUUCAGCCGAUGUCCUCAGUGCCCUUGACACAGCCCCUUGGCACUUGCCUUCCACACACAUGCUGCUGCACCAGUUUCCUCCUGGUAGCAUCUUCCUUUCCGCCUGAGGAUUUCCCAGGCAUCCUGCCUCCAAGAAAGUCAGAAGUCAGUGCCUUCCUGAGAGCCGGUGAGAGCUCCGUCUCCCUUGGGCAAGUGGUGCUGAUGCCUGUUCCCUGCAUCCAUCUCUCAGAAGCCACAGCAGAACUGAGCUCCAGGGGCCACUGCGAGAAGCAUUUAUGGAGCUCGUGGAGUGAGGCAUCUCUUUAAUCCCUUCAGUAAGUCAGUGUGGGCCAAGGAGUCUGAGGAUCAGAGACCUUGUGACUUUUUAAGUGAAGAUUUACUAUGUGCUGGGGCCCAUUGUGUUUUAUUUUAUUGACUCGUCCCAAGCUCUAAGAGGGAGAGACCUUGAUUGUCCCAAUUUCACUGACACAGUUUGGGAAGGUUAAAACAUGAUGAAAGGAAAUAGACUGGAAUGAUACAGUAAUAUGGAAUUGAGCAUUUUCACCAACAUUUUUACAUGUUUUAAAAUGUCAUUUUCUGGCCAGGGGUGGUGGCUCACGCCUGUAACCCCAGCACUUUGGGAAGCUGAGGCUGGUGGAUCACUUGAGGCCAGGAGUUUGUGACCAGCCUGGCCAACACAGUGAAACCAUGUUUCUACUAAAAAUAUAAAAAAAUGGCUUGGUGUGGCCGUGCGCACUUUAAUACCAGGUACUUGGAAGGCCGAGGCAUGAGAAUCACUUGAAACUGGGAGGCAGAGUUUGCAGUGAGCCAAGAUCGUGCCACUGCACUCCAGCCUCGGAGACAGAGUGAGACUCUGUCUCAAAAAAAAAAAAAAAAAAAGUAAAUAAAAAUAAAAUGGUAUUUUAUUUUUCUUUCAUUCUUUUUUUUUUUUUUUACAAAAAAACUUUUAUUAUUAUUUUAGAUUUAAGAGGCACGUGUGCAGGUUUGUUACGUUGAUAUAUUGCAUAAUGGUAAGUUUUGGGCUUCUAGUGAACCCUUCACUCAAACAGUGACCGUUGUAUCUGACAGAUAAUUUUUCAGUUUUCACCUUCCUUCUGCUCUCCUGGCUUUUGGGUUCCCAGUGUCUAUUUUUUCCAUCUCUAUGUCCAUGUGGGCCCAUUGUUUAGCUCCCACUUACAAGUGAGGACAUGCAGUAUUUGAUUUCCUGUUUCUGAGUUAUUUAACUCAGAAUAAUGGUCUCCAGCUCCAUUCAUGCUGCUGCAAAAGACAUGAUUUCAUUCUUAAAAUGGCACUUUAUGAGGUUCGCUUUUCCUGGCAAGAUGAACUAACAAAAUGGAGAUGUUGGAUUCUUUUAUUAAACCCAAAUGUGGUGAGCCACAGAUGGAAGGUAGAAGGUUGCUGAUUCUCGAAAAAGAAUCUGGGAAAUGAUAGCCUAGGGUCAGGAGGGCCAGGUACCAAAAGGGAGGCUGGCUGGGGUUGUGGAGUUAUGUGCUUUUCCUUCCCUGAACUUCCCUCAAGAAAAUAAGAGCUUCCCCAUCACCUCAGCAAAGCAUCAGUCCCCCGGUGUUGAACCAGCUGGUACUCUGGCAGCCCUAAAGCACUCUCCUCCCGAGCUCCCACUUAAGCAAGGUGGGGAUGAUUUUAAGGCAGGCAGCUGUAGAAAAAGAGUAGGGCUCUGGGAGCUCUCCAGAGCUCCUCUGUCACCUGGCACAGAGGGUGGGUCACUCAGGGGAGGUCCAGCCCACAAUAAACAUGGAAGCCACGCACCCCGAUGUCAUCCCCCAGGCUCAUCCUCACCACGAGGCAGGCAAGGCCUGCACCUGGGCCUUUGCUCCUUCUCCCAGGGAUGUCAGACCAGCCAAGGCAGCCGGUGUUUCCACAUGCAUGUGGGCUCAGGAGGAUAUGAAAGGGUCAGGGCCAGCCCAAUAACUGAGCCACACACACUAGAUGAGAUGGUAGGGGAGUUCAGGCAGGGCAUGAAUUAAAGGAAGCUUAAUAAAUAUUCUCAAACAGAUCAGGAAAAACAAAA